UUGCUCUUCAACGAGGAAUGCCUAGUAAGCGUACGUCAUCAGCGUGCGUUGAUUACGUCCCUGCCCUUUGUACACACCGCCCGUCGCUACUACCGAUUGAAUGGCUGAGUGAGGCCUUCGGACUGGCCCAGGGAGGUCGGCAACGACCACCCAGGGCCGGAAAGUUGGUCAAACUCCGUCAUUUAGAGGAAGUAAAAGUCGUAACAAGGUUUCCGUAGGUGAACCUGCGGAAGGAUCAUUAAAGAGUAAGGGUGCUCAGCGCCCGACCUCCAACCCUUUGUUGUUAAAACUACCUUGUUGCUUUGGCGGGACCGCUCGGUCUCGAGCCGCUGGGGAUUCGUCCCAGGCGGGCGCCCGCCAGAGUUAAACCAAACUCUUGUUAUUUAACCGGUCGUCUGAGUUAAAAUUUUGAAUAAAUCAAAACUUUCAACAACGGAUCUCUUGGUUCUCGCAUCGAUGAAGAACGCAGCGAAAUGCGAUAAGUAAUGUGAAUUGCAGAAUUCAGUGAAUCAUCGAAUCUUUGAACGCACAUUGCGCCCCUUGGUAUUCCGAGGGGCAUGCCUGUUCGAGCGUCAUUACACCACUCAAGCUAUGCUUGGUAUUGGGCGUCGUCCUUAGUUGGGCGCGCCUUAAAGACCUCGGCGAGGCCACUCCGGCUUUAGGCGUAGUAGAAUUUAUUCGAACGUCUGUCAAAGGAGAGGAACUCUGCCGACUGAAACCUUUAUUUUUCUAGGUUGACCUCGGAUCAGGUAGGGAUACCCGCUGAACUUAAGCAUAUCAAUAAGCGGAGGA
RNAcentral lists this ribosomal RNA (792 nucleotides) under uncultured fungus. RNAcentral's name for it is "eukaryotic LSU rRNA". The stretch from base 1 to 241 matches the Rfam family "Eukaryotic small subunit ribosomal RNA", at positions 1593 to 1831 of the family's 1831-position model. Lineage: Eukaryota; Fungi. The record is from RNAcentral.